This is a long non-coding RNA of Triplophysa dalaica, 3478 nucleotides long. RefSeq lists it as uncharacterized. The record is from RefSeq and is a predicted model, not a curated record. The transcript has 3 exons. NCBI's taxonomy places the organism in Eukaryota, Metazoa, Chordata, Actinopteri, Cypriniformes, Nemacheilidae.
AAUAAAAUGUUUGAUGUGUCUGCGUCUACCUAUAAUUUCAAAAUACAUUAAUAAUUUUAUAACAUUAUUUUGUUAAUUUCGAUAAGUCCUAAUGUACGUGCUGCGUGCUCGCUCCAUGUCGUGCACGUUCUAUGUACGUAUCUGCUGACUCUGAGGAAGAAUUAAAAAUGGCGGCUGCAGCACGAGAGCUUGAUCGAUUUCAUCGACACGAGUCAUGCGGCGAAAAAAUGAAAAGAAAGAAGAAUUCCAGAAUAAAUCUCAGAGGAUUAUUCAUUAAAUUUGUGAAACCAAACGUUAGCCACCAUGAAGAUGCCACUAUCAACACUUCUGCUGUUACUACCGUCGAGCCCCGAGAAGACAUAACUUUAGUUCAGGACGGACCAGUAUUACUGUUACCUAUCGGUAAAACGGCUGACUGCCUUAGUUCAUGCUGCUGCUAUGUCUUCUGUAAUUAUAUAUUACAAAACACAUUUAAACUCAUAUUGGAUACGUGCAUAAAUUGGAUUAUUAAUAAAUGCCUCAAAGACUUCCUUCCUUCACUCUUGGUUCUCUGACCGGAAUCUGGUUCAUACUUUGCCGCCUCAACCAGUUAAAUUUUGAGAGCAACAUAAAGCCAGAAUGGACCCAGCAGUAAGUGAUGCAGAGACAACAGAAAGACCUUGCAGCAGGACAAAUCUGCCACCUCAGCUGGAUGAAUAUGAGGUUGGAUACCAGGGGACCCUCCUCCUAAAGCUUCUACCUCCUGUCCUAGCCAGCAUGGAAGCAGUUCCAGGAAGACGUCUCAUAGCGACACCAUCUCUCAUUCCAGGACCAGCAGGCGUUCAGUUACCUCAUGAGGCCUUUACCUACAGAGCUCUCUAUGUUCCAGACUGCUGCUUUGGAGUAAGAAUUUAGCAGAGGCAGUUUGACAGUCUCAGGCAACAGGUAGAGGAAGAUUCACUUGCAGACAGGGAAUAUCAGUGGCUGCAGAAACAAGUUAAAGAAGCUCAGUGCAUCCAGGAGGAGGCUCUCACAGCAAAGGAGACUUUGUCCAAACGUCUAGAAAGACACAAAAGCUGCAAGAAGCAGAGACUGAGCUAGAGGUAGCGAAGCUCGUAUCAUACAUGCUUACUACAGACUCUGGCUCAUCCACUCAUCCAAUCCCUUCAGGCUCACCAGUUGGCUCUUUGGAUCCCACUCAACUUAUUCAUAGCAGCCCAGCUGUGUGUCCACAGUCUUCCUCCUUGCAUCAGCAGCUCUCCUCCCAAUUCCUAGUGUUGGCACUGCAGCCCAUCACAGCCACACUUACAAGUCCAUAUGUGAUACAACAGGCAUUAUUCCCUCCAGUGACACCGCAUGCUCAUCCAGUGCAGCCUCCAGUUACCGGCCAGCGGAUAUCAGCCCUGUCACCUCAUGCUCCAAGCUUUACUCAACCAUCCUCAUUCGUGCACCUCCCCCACACUGGGCAUUCUGCAUACCCGGGUACAGAGCUACUGUUCGCCUCGGCUUAUGGCAUCCCACAACCUAAGCUCCCAGUGUUUGAAAGUGGUAAUGAGAGUGACUUCGCCUUGUUCAAAUUGGUAUUGGACAAUUUGUUGAGUAACCACAGCUAUCUUAGUGAGCAAUACAAAUAACAUGUCUUGUUAAGACAUUUGAAACAUCCCAGUGCUCAGCAGCAAUCUAAAUCCUACAUGUACCAUCCGCAUCCAUACUCUGCUGCCCUGCAGGCACUUCAAGAUAAGUACGGGCAGACACAACAACUUGUGCAAUCAGAGCUGGGCUCCAUCAUGAACAGUCCGUCACUUAAACUGGGUGAUGCAAAUGCCUUUGAUUCCUUUGCACUUUCUAUACAAUCAUUAGUUGGCAUGCUGAGGACUCUUAAAGGCCAGAAUGGUUACAAGGUCAUGUGUGGCUCUCAUGUGGAUCAUCUACUAGGCAAGUUGAAGGGCUUCGUUGAAUACUGCCUCAGCAAGAGAAUUCUGCAAUUGUAUCAGUGAUACCCUGCAGAACAAUCUACGCUCUGUUGAGAUCCUUGAGCCUACCAUGAGGAACAUUUACAAAACUUUGACAUGUCAGUACGACCCCUUGGGGUUCAUUAUCCCAUUCACAACAAGAGCCAAAGUCAUUAUCCAAGACCUCUGGAAGCACAACCUUGGUUGGGAUGACCCCAUAGAGCCAUUACCUUUAAGAGAGAAGUGGCUCGCUUGGGUAGCCGAACUUCCAACACUUCCUCAGCUGCAGUUCUCUCGAGCAUACACCCCAGCCUCUGCGGACAAUCCUUCAGCCAUUCGAGAGCUUCAUGCCUUUAACUAUGCCACGGAAAGAGCCUAUGGUUCUGUUGCUUACUUUCGCACCACAGUUGAGCAAGGACAAGUUAUCGUAAACUUUGUCUUGGCCAGAUCAAGAGUGGCUCCUCGUAAUUUUUUGUCUAUGCCUCGUUGGAUGCCCAGUUGGCCAAGGUGAUCCGAGCGGAGUUGACCUUACCUAUCCACAGGGUCACUUUUUGGUCUGACUCUGCCACUGUGUUAAAAUGGCUGACAUCGGAGCCCUGCCGAUACAAAGUGUUUGUGGGGAUACACAUGGCAGAGAUACAGACUCUAACAAAGAUGGCUGAAUGGAGAUACAGUAUGUGGAUAUGGGUCAUAACCAAAAGUUGGCAAGCCCUCAUCAGUGGAGUUUAGGACCAGCCUUUAUGAUUCAGCCACCCGACCAUUGGCCAUCCAUGCCUAAAACUGAAGAAAAACCUGAUUGCAGUGAAAUAAAGAAGUCUGCCUUUAUUGGAAAUGUUUCAGCACCUAGCAAUCCUCUUCCUGAUCCAGUUCAAUUCCACAAAUGGCAAGAGCUUGUCCAGUCCACUGUUAGAUCCCUGCAUGGGGUGGCUGCAACAAACACUGACCUUCCUAAGGAGGUCUUCGAUUACAUUAAGGUGGAGAAGCUUCUUCUGGCACGGGCUCAAAUGGAUUCAUUUCUUACUGAGGUCAUGGCUUUAAAGUCGUUUUGUCUCACUUGCCCCUGAGUAUGAUGAUGCCACUGGUCUUAAUAGAGUGGGUGGAAGGCUACGGCAUGCCAGUGACCUCGACCUAGAGGCCAUAAACCCAAUUGUGUUAGACCCUAGGUGCUAGACCCUAGGAGCCACCAAGCUGCUAAUUAAAGACACUGAUCAGCGACUCCUUCACCCUGGCUCAGAACGGGUUCUAGCUGAACUGCGGCGCCAGUAUUGGGUACUCGGAGGCAGAGAAGCAGUUCGUAAACACAGACUUUAAUCUUUUUACUCCACUUUCAGAGACUUAUUUUGUGUGGGAGUGUGACUUCCUUCUAUUCACAGAAGUCCAUGUAAGUGUUUGUUAUAGAUUUUGUGUGUGUAUGCCUUCAAUCAUCUUUGCAUCUGAAACACUUUUUAUUGAUUGAUUUAUCGUUAUGGACUUGGCUAAGAGAGAAGACAUAUUUUAUUUAAUUGUCUUGUUCUGGCUUGUUUGCAGUGUCACUUCCACUUCUGCCA